This 388-nucleotide ribosomal RNA is filed under the name uncultured bacterium. RNAcentral's name for it is "bacterial SSU rRNA". It matches the Rfam family "Bacterial small subunit ribosomal RNA", at positions 29 to 417 of the family's 1533-position model. The record is from RNAcentral.
AUUGAACGCUGGCGGCGUGCUUAACACAUGCAAGUCGUGCGGUAACAGGCGUAGCAAUACGUGCUGACGAGCGGCGAACGGGUGCGUAAUACAUGGGAAUCUGCCCUUUAGUGGGGAAUAACCCGGCGAAAGCCGGGCUAAUGCCGCAUAAGAUCUUCGGAUGAAAGCGGGGGAUCGUAAGACCUCGCGCUGAUGGAUGAGCCCAUGUCGGACUAGCAGUUGGUGAGGUAACGGCUCACCAAGGCGACGAUCCGUAGCUGGUCUGAGAGGACGGCCAGCCACACUGGGACUGAGACACGGCCCAGACUCCUACGGGAGGCAGCAGUGGGGAAUAUUGGACAAGUGGGGAAACCCUGAUCCAGCGACGCCGCGUGUGUGAAGAAGGCCU